UACGAACUGUGCAAACGUUAUUCGGAAUCACUGGGCUUAAAGGGUGCGUAGGCGGCUGUCUAAGUAGGGUGUGAAAGCCCCCGGCUCAACCGGGGAAUUGCGCCCUAAACUGGACGGCUGGAGUGAGGCAGGGGUGUGUGGAACUUCCGGUGGAGCGGUGAAAUGUGUUGAUAUCGGAAGGAACGCCGGUGGCGAAAGCGAUACACUGGGUCUCAACUGACGCUGAGGCACGAAAGCCAGGGGAGCAAACGGG
RNAcentral lists this ribosomal RNA (253 nucleotides) under uncultured bacterium. Its description in RNAcentral is "partial 16S ribosomal RNA". It matches the Rfam family "Bacterial small subunit ribosomal RNA", at positions 524 to 776 of the family's 1533-position model. The record is from RNAcentral.